RNAcentral lists this transfer RNA (77 nucleotides) under Clostridioides difficile. Its description in RNAcentral is "tRNA-Val(tac)". It matches the Rfam family "tRNA". Rfam says of the family: Transfer RNA (tRNA) molecules are approximately 80 nucleotides in length. Their secondary structure includes four short double-helical elements and three loops (D, anti-codon, and T loops). Further hydrogen bonds mediate the characteristic L-shaped molecular structure. tRNAs have two regions of fundamental functional importance: the anti-codon, which is responsible for specific mRNA codon recognition, and the 3' end, to which the tRNAs corresponding amino acid is attached (by aminoacyl-tRNA synthetases). tRNAs cope with the degeneracy of the genetic code in two manners: having more than one tRNA (with a specific anti-codon) for a particular amino acid; and 'wobble' base-pairing, i.e. permitting non-standard base-pairing at the 3rd anti-codon position. Lineage: Bacteria; Bacillati; Bacillota; Clostridia; Peptostreptococcales; Peptostreptococcaceae. The record is from RNAcentral.
UAGAUUAUAGAUUAUNCUGGGAGAGCACCUGCCUUACAAGCAGGGGGUCACAGGUUCGAGCCCUGUUGGUCCCACCA